Non-coding RNA from Pelobates cultripes (western spadefoot toad), 323 nucleotides. Lineage: Eukaryota; Metazoa; Chordata; Amphibia; Anura; Pelobatidae. The record is from the annotation of a GenBank genome assembly.
AGCAGGGCCAGCUGUUGGGGUGUGCAAGCUGUGCGGUCAUGCAGGGUGCCAUGACAACAGAGGCACCCGGCGGGCAACACAGCUCGCAAGUUGGGGACACCAGCAUAUUCAAUUUAAACGAUUCACUGGUGGUCCACUGGUGUGCACCAGCAGUAGGUGCAGUCAGAUUAUAUCCUCUCCAUCGUGGUUCCGGCGCUCAGUUAGUUAGAUUCUCAGCCUGCGCUCUGACAACAUUGAAAGUCAGAGCCGUGAAGGAGCGGGUAUAGCAAAGAGCUACUGAUUAGCAUAACAUCAAUAUCUGUUAUAAAACCAGGAAAAGGUGG